GAAAGACCCCGUGCACCUUUACUGUAGCUUUGCGCUGGCAUUCGUGUCGGCAUGUGUAGGAUAGGUGGUAGACUUUGAAGCCGAGGCGCCAGCUUUGGUGGAGUCAUCCUUGAAAUACCACCCUUAUCGUCAUGGAUGUCUAACCGCGACCCGUCAUCCGGGUCCGGGACAGCGCAUGGCAGGCAGUUUGACUGGGGCGGUCGCCUCCUAAAGAGUAACGGAGGCUUGCAAAGGUACCCUCAGUACGGUUGGUAAUCGUACGUAGAGCGCAUUAGUAUAAGGGUGCUUGACUGUGAGGCACACAAGCCGAGCAGGGACGAAAGUCGGCUAAAGUGAUCCGGCGGUUCUGUAUGGAAGGGCCGUCGCUCAAAGGAUAAAAGGUACUCCGGGG
This 391-nucleotide ribosomal RNA is filed under the name Pycnococcus provasolii. RNAcentral's name for it is "partial Bacterial large subunit ribosomal RNA". It matches the Rfam family "Bacterial large subunit ribosomal RNA", at positions 2083 to 2473 of the family's 2925-position model. The record is from RNAcentral. Lineage: Eukaryota; Viridiplantae; Chlorophyta; Pseudoscourfieldiophyceae; Pseudoscourfieldiales; Pycnococcaceae.